RNAcentral lists this ribosomal RNA (468 nucleotides) under uncultured bacterium. RNAcentral describes it as "partial 16S ribosomal RNA". It matches the Rfam family "Bacterial small subunit ribosomal RNA", at positions 28 to 506 of the family's 1533-position model. The record is from RNAcentral.
GACGAACGCUGGCGGCGUGCUUAACACAUGCAAGUCGAACGGUGAAGCGAGUGCUUGCACUCGUGGAUCAGUGGCGAACGGGUGAGUAACACGUGAGUAACCUGCCCAUCACUCUGGGAUAAGCACUGGAAACGGUGUCUAAUACUGGAUACGACCAACCCUUGCAUGGGGUGUUGGUGGAAAGAUUUAUCGGUGAUGGAUGGACUCGCGGCCUAUCAGCUUGUUGGCGGGGUAAUGGCCCACCAAGGCGACGACGGGUAGCCGGCCUGAGAGGGUGACCGGCCACACUGGGACUGAGACACGGCCCAGACUCCUACGGGAGGCAGCAGUGGGGAAUAUUGCACAAUGGGCGAAAGCCUGAUGCAGCGACGCCGCGUGAGGGAGGACGGCCUUCGGGUGGUAAACCUCUUUCAGCAGGGAAGAAGCGAAAGUGACGGUACCUGCAGAAGAAGCACCGGCUAACUACGU